RNAcentral lists this ribosomal RNA (419 nucleotides) under uncultured soil bacterium. RNAcentral's name for it is "bacterial SSU rRNA". It matches the Rfam family "Bacterial small subunit ribosomal RNA", at positions 26 to 451 of the family's 1533-position model. The record is from RNAcentral.
AGAUUGAACGCUAGCGGGAUGCUUUACACAUGCAAGUCGAACGGCAGCGCGGACUUCGGUCUGGCGGCGAGUGGCGAACGGGUGAGUAAUAUAUCGGAACGUGCCCAGUAGCGGGGGAUAACUACGCGAAAGCGUGGCUAAUACCGCAUACGCCCUACGGGGGAAAGGGGGGGAUCGCAAGACCUCUCACUAUUGGAGCGGCCGAUACCAGAUUAGCUAGUUGGUGAGGUAAAGGCUCACCAAGGCGACGAUCUGUAGCUGGUUUGAGAGGACGACCAGCCACACUGGGACUGAGACACGGCCCAGACUCCUACGGGAGCAGCAGUGGGAAUUUGGACAAUGGGGGAAACCCUGAUCCAGCCAUCCCGCGUGUGCGAUGAAGGCCUUCGGGUUGUAAGCACUUUGGCUAGGAAGAACGG